AACAAGGUCUCCGUUGGUGAACCAGCGGAGGGAUCAUUACCGAGUGUAAAAACUCCCAAACCAUUGUGAACUUACCACUGUUGCUUCGGCGGCCUCGCCCCGGGCGCGUUCGCGCGGCCCGGACCCAGGCGUCCGCCGGAGGCUCCAAACUCUUGUCUUUUAGUGUAUUUCUGAGUGGCAUAAGCAAAUAAAUCAAAACUUUCAGCAACGGAUCUCUUGGUUCUGGCAUCGAUGAAGAACGCAGCAAAAUGCGAUAAGUAAUGUGAAUUGCAGAAUUCAGUGAAUCAUCGAAUCUUUGAACGCACAUUGCGCCCGCCAGUAUUCUGGCGGGCAUGCCUGUCUGAGCGUCAUUUCAACCCUCAGGACCCGUUCGCGGGACCUGGCGUUGGGGAUCAGCCUGCCCCUGGCGGCGGCUGGCCCUGAAAUCCAGUGGCGGUUCCCUCGCGAACUCCUCCGUGCAGUAAUUAAACCUCUCGCGGCAGGAUAGCGGUUGAACCACGCCGUUAAACCCCCCACUUCUCAAGGUUGACCUCAGAUCAGGUAGGAAUACCCGCUGAACUUAAGCAUAUCAAUAAGCG
RNAcentral lists this ribosomal RNA (578 nucleotides) under uncultured fungus. RNAcentral describes it as "eukaryotic LSU rRNA". The stretch from base 197 to 350 matches the Rfam family "5.8S ribosomal RNA". The record is from RNAcentral. Lineage: Eukaryota; Fungi.